GCCUGCAAUUACUUGCUGAUAGCUACUUGAGGGAGACACACAGCGGCAGAUGCAGCGUAUCAUCGGAGGUCGGUCGUUCCUUUCCUGCCUUUCCACCAAACGCAGCAGCCAGGCUGGACACAAGACAAUGCUCAAAAACGAAGCUUCACUUUACGCACAUCAAGAAGAUGAGGAGCCAUAACAAACUGCAGGUAGAGCACAGUGACCCCCGGCUGCUCACAGAGAUUAAGAUAAAGAUUAAAAGUGAAGCUGGAUAGAUUGUUAUAACUGGAAGAAGAUGCCAAAGAACAACAUCACUUUUGUACGUGAGUCUAGCAGAUAUUGCAUGAAGAUGACCAUAAAGACAAAAUCUUGGAUCCGUCAUGUUGGACUGAAUGCGGGAUAAUUAACAUGAGCCAGGCUAGUCCUAACUGAUGCAUCAGAGGAUUCCUCAUUGACAGCAAAAAAGGGACAUUGGAGACCGUAGGGCCCUGGGCAGUUUAUCAGUGGAAAUCUAAUAUGGUCCAUAAGCAGGCAAGUGAAAAUCAAUACUUCAUUACCAAAUUGUUAGUCAAGAUGAAGAAGAAUGGCAGGAGUGUCUUAAAAGG
Long non-coding RNA from Pseudophryne corroboree (corroboree frog), 587 nucleotides. RefSeq lists it as uncharacterized. The record is from RefSeq and is a predicted model, not a curated record. The transcript is spliced from 4 exons. NCBI's taxonomy places the organism in Eukaryota, Metazoa, Chordata, Amphibia, Anura, Myobatrachidae.